Molecule: ribosomal RNA, 873 nt
Filed under: uncultured archaeon
Lineage: Archaea
Description: bacterial SSU rRNA
Rfam family: Archaeal small subunit ribosomal RNA
Source: RNAcentral
UCUGGUUGAUCCUGCCAGAGGUUACUGCUAUCGGUGUUCGCCUAAGCCAUGCGAGUCAUAAUGUUCUUCGUGAACAUGGCGUACUGCUCAGUAACACGUGGAUAACCUGCCCUUGGGUCCGGCAUAACCCCGGGAAACUGGGGAUAAUCCCGGAUAACGCAUAUAUGCUGGAAUGCUUUAUGCGUAAAAUGGAUUCGUCUGCCCAAGGAUGGGUCUGCGGCCUAUCAGGUAGUAGUGGGUGUAAUGUACCUACUAGCCGACGACGGGUACGGGUUGUGAGAGCAAGAGCCCGGAGAUGGAUUCUGAGACAUGAAUCCAGGCCCUACGGGGCGCAGCAGGCGCGAAAACUUUACAAUGCGGGAAACCGUGAUAAGGGGACACCGAGUGCCAGCAUCAUAUGCUGGCUGUCCGGGUGUUUAAACUACACCUGUUAGCAAGGGCCGGGCAAGACCGGUGCCAGCCGCCGCGGUAACACCGGCGGCUCGAGUGGUAACCGUUAUUAUUGGGUCUAAAAGGUCUGUAGCCGGCCGGAUAAGUCUCUUGGGAAAUCUGGCAGCUUAACUGUCAGGCUUUCAGGAGAUACUGUCUGGCUCGAGGCCGGGAGAGGUAAGAGGUACUACAGGGGGUAGGAGUGAAAUCUUGUAAUCCCUGUGGGACCACCUGUGGCGAAGGCGCCUUUACCAGAACGGGUUCGACGGUGAGGGACGAAAGCUGGGGGCACGAACCGGAUUAGAUACCCGGGUAGUCCCAGCCGUAAACGAUGCUCGCUAGGUGUCAGGCGUGGCGCGACCGUGUCUGGUGCCGCAGGGAAGCCGUGAAGCGAGCCACCUGGGAAGUACGGCCGCAAGGCUGAAACUUAAAGGAAUUGGCGGG